Molecule: ribosomal RNA, 506 nt
Filed under: uncultured bacterium
Lineage: Bacteria
Description: partial 16S ribosomal RNA
Rfam family: Bacterial small subunit ribosomal RNA
Source: RNAcentral
AUUGAACGCUGGCGGCAGGCUUAACACAUGCAAGUCGAGCGGUAACAGAGAGAAGCUUGCUUCUCUGCUGACGAGCGGCGGACGGGUGAGUAAUGCCUAGGAAUCUGCCUAGUAGUGGGGGAUAACUUGCCGAAAGGUAAGCUAAUACCGCAUACGUCCUACGGGAGAAAGGAGGGGACCUUCGGGCCUUUCGCUAUUAGAUGAGCCUAGGUCGGAUUAGUUAGUUGGUGAGGUAAUGGCUCACCAAGACCGCGAUCCGUAACUGGUCUGAGAGGAUGAGCAGUCACACUGGAACUGAGACACGGUCCAGACUCCUACGGGAGGCAGCAGUGGGGAAUAUUGGACAAUGGGGGGAACCCUGAUCCAGCCAUGCCGCGUGUGUGAAGAAGGUCUUAGGAUUGUAAAGCGCUUUAAGUUGGGAGGAAGAGCAGUUAACUAAUAUUUGACUGUUUUGACGUUACCGACAGAAUAAGCACCGGCUAACUUCGUGCCAGCAGCCGCCGUAA